Molecule: ribosomal RNA, 433 nt
Filed under: uncultured bacterium
Lineage: Bacteria
Description: bacterial SSU rRNA
Rfam family: Bacterial small subunit ribosomal RNA
Source: RNAcentral
GAACGACGCUGGCGGCAUGCCUAACACAUGCAAGUCGAACGAGACCUUCGGGUCUAGUGGCGCACGGGUGCGUAACGCGUGGGAACCUGCCUUUAGGUUCGGAAUAACUCAGAGAAAUUUGAGCUAAUACCGGAUAAUGUCUUCGGACCAAAGAUUUAUCGCCUUUAGAUGGGCCCGCGUUGGAUUAGCUAGUUGGUGGGGUAAAGGCCUACCAAGGCGACGAUCCAUAGCUGGUCUGAGAGGAUGAUCAGCCACACUGGGACUGAGACACGGCCCAGACUCCUACGGGAGGCAGCAGUGGGGAAUAUUGGACAAUGGGCGUAAGCCUGAUCCAGCAAUGCCGCGUGAGUGAUGAAGGCCUUCGGGUUGUAAAGCUCUUUUACCUACGACGAUGAUGACGGUAGUAGGAGAAUAAGCCCCGGCUAACUUCGUG